UCUUUCUUUCUACUUACAUUUCUCUUUCUACUCCAUUCUUUUCUUCUUUUUCUAAAAAUAUCUUCUGACAUAGUGAGAUAAGUAGGGAUGAUCGAGUACCUUGGUCGAUCCAACCUCAACUCGAGUUUGAAGUAGAAACUCCAUCUCAGACGAUAGUUGAGGUCGGUACUUCAGGUUGGGAAGAUCUAGAGUCUCCUAUAAGGAGAUUCUUAGAUUACUUUGGUCCUAGUACUGAACAAUCCAUCCUGACCGAUCUCUGUCUUUAUAAACUUAGAGAUAAAUAUUUGAUUCUUGAAAAAUUUCAAUUGAUAGCUCUAGGUCAGAAUAAUAGGAUCACUGAAUCUCUCAAAAAUUGUAUCGCAUUUUAUGAUGAGACACUUAAGUUCGGACUUCAUUUUUUCUUAUAUCCUUUUUUUCAGUAAUAUUUUAGAUUUUUAUAGACUUCAUCC
RNAcentral lists this long non-coding RNA (449 nucleotides) under Elaeis guineensis (African oil palm). RNAcentral describes it as "long non-coding RNA (EGUI_LNC012446)". Lineage: Eukaryota; Viridiplantae; Streptophyta; Magnoliopsida; Arecales; Arecaceae. The record is from RNAcentral.